AGAUUGAACGCUGGCGGCAGGCCUAACGCAUGCAAGUCGAGCGGUAGAGAGGUGCUUGCACCUCUUGAGAGCGGCGGACGGGUGAGUAAUGCCUAGGAAUCUGCCUAGUGGUGGGGGAUAACGUUCGGAAACGGACGCUAAUACCGCAUACGUCCUACGGGAGAAAGCGGGGGACCUUCGGGCCUCGCGCCAUUAGAUGAGCCUAGGUCGGAUUAGCUAGUUGGUGAGGUAAUGGCUCACCAAGGCGACGAUCCGUAACUGGUCUGAGAGGAUGAU
This 276-nucleotide ribosomal RNA is filed under the name uncultured soil bacterium. RNAcentral describes it as "partial 16S ribosomal RNA". It matches the Rfam family "Bacterial small subunit ribosomal RNA", at positions 26 to 304 of the family's 1533-position model. The record is from RNAcentral.